UUUGACUUCUCAAUUGAUAGAUGACUGAAUGAAUGUCAUCAAGACUAGAUAAAAUGUCAAAACUCUUGAGUUUUCAUCUAAACCUUGUUUUCACUUUUCACUUAAUAAGUAUAAACAUGUCCGACAUAUACCUCUCAUUUUUGUUUGCUAAGGGAUUUAUAGGGCCACAUAUGGUAGAGUGUACAAGCUCCAAUCUUCUUGUUGAUCUUCGGUCACUCUUCUUUGUAAUUAUUUCUCUAUGUUGCUUUCCUACCAUGUAGUCUACAUAUACUUGUUUUGAAUCUUCAAUUCUA
RNAcentral lists this long non-coding RNA (293 nucleotides) under Lathyrus oleraceus (garden pea). Its description in RNAcentral is "Pisum sativum (pea) long non-coding RNA (PSAT_LNC036990)". Lineage: Eukaryota; Viridiplantae; Streptophyta; Magnoliopsida; Fabales; Fabaceae. The record is from RNAcentral.